This 8321-nucleotide long non-coding RNA is filed under the name Phoenix dactylifera (date palm). Its description in RNAcentral is "long non-coding RNA (PDAC_LNC008484)". Lineage: Eukaryota; Viridiplantae; Streptophyta; Magnoliopsida; Arecales; Arecaceae. The record is from RNAcentral.
AUUUUCUUAUUAUGAUUGAUGUUUGUGUGUGGCCCAUUGAUUAUGAUAUUCCAUAGAUCGUAGUCAUGUGCUUGAAUGAAAAUACGCAUGCGUGCUUUCCAAUGUGUUUAGUUUAUGCCAUUAAAUAGUGGAGGUCUAUCAAUUAAUUGUUCCUUUCCUAGAAAACUAUCUAUUUGAGUUGUCAUGAUCUUUGGCUCUUGAUCGUGAGAUCAACAAUUAACCUUAGAACACCUGCUCUGAUACCACUUGUUGCCCAAGGUGACAACCCAAAAGAGGGGGUGAAUUGGGUUUUCUAAAUUUUUAGUGCCUUAAAAGUUUUCUUGUUAAGAGCGGUGGAAGCUUUCUUAAGUUACUUGUGUGAACUUACUCUAAAGCAAGAAUAAAUACAAUAACAAGCACAACACAAACAAGACAAUGUAUAGUGGUUUGGUGCACCCCAGCACCUACAUCCACUCUCCAAGACCUCUUGGAAAUUUCACUAUAAUCCCUCAGAUUACAGCCGGUUGUUUUACAAGCUCACAACCUAACUUGUUGUUUUCAUGAGAUUACAACGAACUCGGUCGGUUUUCACAGGCUCACCGAUUAGAACCAAUCCGACUGUUUUCACGGGCUCACAAUCCAACCCAGUUGGUUUUUUCCGGAUUACCAACUACAACCUACAACGUUGGUUUUUACUGGCUCAUCAACAACCCUUAACCUCUUGAUUCAAUCCCUUGAUUGAAUCAAGUUACAAGAUGUCAGAAUAGGAGUUUAAAACAAAUACAAACUUCUCAAACAAGCAGAUAUAACAAUAUAAACAAAUAGAGUAAAGAGAAGAAGCCCUCAAACAAGUUUUGCAGAUGAAAGAACUUGGCUUCUUCUUUACUUGACCCUCUUAUGAUUUCGCACGAGGUAGAGGAUCACUGAGGCAGCACACAGUUGGAGAGGAAGCUUUGGGAUUCACUCAGAUGCUCUUCUUCUCUCUCUUUUGCUUUGAAUGGCCCUUUUGUGCUUUUGGAAAGUUUCUCUUAAAAUCUCUUUGAAAUCUCUUCCCUAUGUGUUCUCUCCCACUUGUCCACUUCUCCCCUUGCUCUCCCCUUGAUUUUAUAGCUUUGGAUGGCGUGGGAACAAAGAUCUAGCCGUUAGAGACAAAAAUAGAGCCGUUGGAGUCGAGAAAAAACUAGCCGUUAUGCCUCCCAGUGUGCUCGAGUCGACUCGGCUGAAGCAGGAGUCGACUCGUGAAUAGGAGUCUGCUCGGCACUGUAGCUGGAGUUGGCUCGCACUGUAGUUGGAGUCGGCUCGAGAACUGUGGCGCUGAAAACUACUUUCUAUCCUGACUGAGAGAGACGGCUCGAAUGAAGUAGGAGUCGGCUCGGCACUAUAGCUGGAGUCGGCUCAUGAAUAGCUGGAGUCGGCUCAUGAAUAGUAGGAGUCGGCUCGAGCACUGCUUAUUGAAAAUCAGAUCUCUGUCUUUUUUCUGCGGGAGUCGGCUCGUGAACAGUAGGAGUUGACUCGAGCACUGUUCCUUGAAACUCCAGAGUGCCAGAGUCGACUCUGAACUUUCAGGAGUCGACUCGAGGACUGUUCUUUUGAAUUUUUCUUGGAGUUUGCUCCUCCAAUUUGAAUCCUGUGAACUUGAACCUUGGGCCAAUGAAGUGUGACUUUCUUCCAGCUUUUCUUGAGAGCUUUUGAGGCCUUCUUCUUUCAACUUGCUAUGUUCCUUGCAAAACAAAUUAUCUUUCUUCUUGCAACACAAACAUUAGUAAUUAUACUUCAAGGUUUUGUGAUCAUCAAAAUCAAUCUUUGGGUUAACACAUGUGAAAAUUAAGUGACAAGGAAGAAACAAGCGGGCAACAUUCAAAUUCUUUAACAAGACUUUUUGACAUCAAAUGGGUUGCGCUCUUGUUAAAUGUGAGUGAUAUAAGAUGUUAGGGUUAGGACUGCACGUCUCAUGGCAGAACUUGAAGGUAUAGGGCUUUGAGGAAAGAUUAUGUGGUCAGCUCUCUGUACAGCACCAGAAAUCUGGACACAGUGGGAUCUGUUGCAAGAUUAGGAAGAAAUGAGGGAGCAACAGUUCCUAGGAUCAAUAACUGGUGAUAUGGAAUUGAAUAUAGGAUUUUAUUUUGUAGGGAAAAGGCUCUUGAUGCAUUUUUAGGGUUAAUAACGGAUGGUGAGGCUUCUAGUGGUGUUAAGGAAUCAAAGUAACACAAAAUAAAUUGAUAAUAAAUCCAAUUAUGAUCAGAAUUAAGCUCAGUUAUUAACUACAGAAAGCAAAUAAUAGAUAAAUAGAAUAAUAGGAUGAAAAGUAGGAGAAUGUAGAGUAAAGAUUAGAAUCAAAGAGAAGAAGAAAUAUGGAGCAAGAAUAAGAGAAAGGGAGGGGAUAAUAGCCAAACCUUGGCUUUCUUCAUUCUUUCAAUCAAAUCAUCUCAAAAUCAUCCCUUAGAAAAGAUGAUUACAGCCUCUAUAUUGACUCAAAACGCUAACAACAAUAAACAUUGACCCUUGAGUUAGAAACUAAUCCAAGCUGUCCAUUAAAACAUAAGAAGAGAAACCUUAAAAGAUACAAAGUCCCCUGAUAAUUGUAUUGCUAGAGUACUGUGAAUAGUUCCCCCUGCUACAACACCACCAACAAUACCCAUGAAUAAUGUGCGCUACAAGGAUGCUCUGACUUGUCUAUCCAAAAGCCUUCAGGCAUAUAUAGGAUUACAUGCAUGCCCACCUAUCAUUUAAGUCCAUUAUUUCCAUCUAGCACUUCUCUUGCACAGGUAAGUUACAUUUGCUUGUGUAAAAUAACUUCCUCAUGUAAGAUCACUGUUGCCUGUCAUAUCAUUACUCUGCCACGAUAUCAUGUGAAAUUGUGGUUGUCCAUCUUCUCUACUCCAUGCAGCCAUUAUGCAGUUCAAAAUUCUAAUUUCUACAUUCGAAGUGAAGCCUGCAACUAACGUGACUGGACAUUAAUUUGAUUGUGUAACAUUGAAAAUUGGUUCAUGUUAAGCACUCAUCAAGCAUUCUUGGCUCUUGUAUAAUAUCAAGACUAUGGUUAUGCUGCUAGUCUAUAUUACACUGGAUGCAAAAAUCACACAUGAUUCAAGACUUAUUUUGCUCGCUCGGUGCCAUCCCUUUGAAACUAUGUUAUGCUUCUAUUGGGCCAUGUGGAAUAUGAUGUUUCAUUUUCUGGUGCUGUUCCUCACUAUGUUGUCCAUGUUGUUCAAUACUGUUAUUCUUUGGAGCAUAAAUGCUUUAAGAGUUUGAUUUGCUAUUCUUCUCAAGGGGUUCAUCAAGUGGUAAUACUUGUUAAUUGAGUGCCAAAUUGCUGCCCAACACAUUGUCUAUUAUAGAUGCAAGUAAUUCCAUGCAUCUUGCACCCCAUUUGUUAUAAGAAUACAUCCUUUUGAGAGUACCCCCAGGUUUUCAUACGUAUAGUUGCCCAACUAGUUUUUGGGAUUGGAUUAUUUUGAUGGUCGAGACUUAUUUUGCGUUGCAAAAAUCUAUUAAGAAAUUCAUGAAAAAUUUAAUUGAUGAAUAAUCCUCUUCCUGGUUUUCAUACAUACAGCUGCCCAAUUAGGUAUCAGCAUUGCAUCAUUUUGAUGGCUGAGACUUGCUUUGCAUUGCGAAAAUCUCUUAAGAUUGAUUGCUGGAUCAUCCUCACUUGCAUGUUGCAGGAACUACAAUUCUUGAUGCCAUUAAAUCCACUGUUGAUCCUUCAACCACUAUCAUCUAUUCUGAGAACCCUGAUGCCAGCUUUGUCAAAGACAAUGAUUUCUCUUAUGCCAUUGUUGUGGUUGGGGAACCCCCCUACACUGAAACUGCUGGAGACAGCCUAAACCUCACACUUCCUGAUCCAGGUCCAAGCACAAUCCAGACUGUCUGCAGUGCUGUCAAGUGUGUUGUGGUUAUCAUCUCUGGCAGGCCUGUUGUAAUUGAGCCCUAUGUUCCAUUAAUGGAUGCUCUUGUGGCUGCUUGGCUCCCUGGUUCUGAAGGCCAAGGUGUUGCUGAUGUUCUUUUUGGAGAUUAUGGAUUCUCUGGGAAGCUUCCACGAACAUGGUUUAAAUCGGUGGACCAGCUCCCCAUGAAUGUUGGAGACAAGCACUAUGACCCAUUGUUCCCGUUUGGUUUUGGUUUGACAACCAAGCCAAUGGCUACAAGGUAGAAAUCAUAUUCCAUUAAACUUCCACCACAGAAUGAUUGUCUGUCAGUUUAUUUUGACAGUAUAAUAUUUUACAUAGGCAAAGGGGUCCAGCAAGGAUUAACCCUUUGUUAAAUUUUGCUACAAUCAGUGGGAAAAGAUCUUAAUUUAACUUAUUAUUUGGCCCUUUGUCAUCAUUUUUAGGUCCUCUUCUUCGGCUCGUGUUGUGAGAAAGGAGGAAUACUGUAUGCUGUCUCUAUAUCUCAGUUUAUUGGUUACAUGGAUAUUAUUUAGAGUUUCAUAACUCCUGCAUCAGCCAUUCAAUAUGAUUAAGACGGUAUAAUUGUGGGCUAUGUGGAUUGACAUCAGAUUGCUGUUUGAGCUGGACAGUAAGGUCAACUGUCGUGUUGCAUUGCUCUCACGUCUAUCCAGUCUUGGCCAAAGCAUCAUCCUUGGAACAUUGAUGUGGUUUGCAUGCAAUACUGUUUUUGCACAAUUGCGGGCCUUGGCGAUCGAACAAGUUCUUUUACAUGCUUUGUUCCAUCAUUUUCAUAUGAUUUUGUGUACAUCAAAACUGAUUUACCAAGGAGUUGAUUGAAACUUUUUAGAAAGUGGAUGUCCUUUAUCUGCAUGCGCUCCUUGGGUGUCUUUGUGUCAUCAUCUCUACCAUUUUAACCGUGGAUGCCUUCUGUGUCAUAACUUUCCUCUUGUAACGGUUUGCCCAUAUGCUGCUUCAUUUUUGAUUAUUUAUGACUGUUUCCAUCUGACUCGCCUAAUCCUUUAAAAUUGACCAUUUCAAGUAAAAAUGGAUAUGAGUGAUACAGGCUUUUGAUGUUCAUGAAUGUGGGCAUUGCAUAUAUGGUGCUGGUGAAAUCGGUUUGAAAUAUCGAGACCAAAGGCUAAGGUUAGGCUCGAUACUAGGAGCCUCAGUUCAGACAAAACCAUCUUGUCUUGAAGUGGGGGUGGAUUGCACGGCUUGAGGGCAAAUUGAGGGUGGUUCUCAAAUCACUGAAUGGGAUCAAGGCUGCUUUGUCUUGAACCAACCUCGAGCCACUCCCGAAUCGAGUAGUAUGCCUAGGUAGUGGUUGGAAAGUAUGGGUGAUUCUUUUUUGUUUUUGGCCAUUUGGGUUGCAGGUGUUGUUAUAGUUAAAUGAUAUUCUAAGUAUAUUCUCUUUAUUUCUUUGAACAUACGUCUUCUAAAUGUAUUUAGGUUGCAAUUUAUGAGAUAUUAUGUAAUAUUUAUUCAUGUUCAGGACUUUAACAUAAAUAAAAUACCUUGAUUAGGGCACUUAACUUGAUGUCCCUAACUUAUUUUUUACAAGAACAUAUAUUUAGAAAAAAAUUGAUAAAGGAAUCAAAAGUUUAAGGCUAAAAAGGCUAGCAAGGGUAUUUGAGGCAUAUCAAUGUGUGAGGGCCCGGUGAAUUGACCAGCCCGCACAUUGUUGGGCCAAUGGGCCGGCCCAAAGUGGCCCGCCCAAGAGCCACCGUGCUCUGGCAUGAUGCAGCAGAGAAGAAGAAGACUCUAAUCUUUAGCAAAAAAAAAAAAACUUCGUUCGGGGUCUUCUUCCUCCUCCGAAUAUGGCGAUAAUCAAGAACACUCAAGGCAAUCUGAGUUCGUCUAGGACUUGAGGACUUCGCCUAGUUAACUUCUCUCCUCCUUCUUGGAUUUCUUCCAUCAGAAUCGUCAAGAAUAGCUGCCGAUUUCAAGCUUCUUCUUUGAGCAUUCUUCCUCGUUUGCUUACUGGAAAGAGUCGCCAGAGAACGAGUUAUGAGUUCUUCAUCUCCUCCUCUUUCUUCCUUAGUGCUCUAGCCUUCGUUCUGUUAGAUUCAAGCCGACAAAUUGCUGGAAUACCUUCCGGCAUAAAGGAGCUCUGUUUCGACUCCCUUCUUCUGAUGAACGCCCUCAUCGGCAUUCGUCGCCGAGGGCCUUAGCCCUUCCUUGCAUCGGCCUCGAGCUGGAGCCAGACCUCAGCCGCUGGCAAGCGAGCUGGGAAUCCGAGGACAAUCAAGCCCAAAACCUUUCUUGUUCGACCUUAUUUUGGAUUGGUUUUGGCUGCUGGCCACUGCCGUCAGUUGCCCAACACUGCCCUCCACCGCCUCCGGCCAUCACCUCGCUGGACCACACGACCAUAACCACCAACUGUCCUCUCUCUUCUGUUUUGCCGAGGAAGAGGAAAGAAAAAAGAAAGAAAGAAGAAGAGGAGAGAGAGAACAUCCCUCUCUUUCUCUCUCUUAUUUCCUCCCUCUUCUUCCUAUUCUCCUCUUUCCACUUUCUCUCUCUAGAUUGUCCAAGAAACCCAGUGUCGGGUCCUGUUGACCUGAUCUUCGAACCCGAGUUGACUCCUAUAAAGAGCCUAAUCCGCUCUGGUGCCUUGGCUGCCUAUUGAACCGAUCAUCCCAACCCUGUUGAAUGUUCUUGAAACCUUCAUUGAUGAACCAUAUUGAUUAAUCUUGUCUCUAAUCGAGUCCAUAGCUAUGAUUUAUUGAGCCAAUCAUCUAGAACACCCACAUGAAGCCACCGUACGUCCAUAAAUUAAUUUUGUUGUUAAUUUUUUAAAUAGAUCUAGCGAAGUCCCUUAGUGAAGUUUGACAGUCUAAGACAAAAGAGGUAAGUAAGCCUUAUACUACUUAUUAAUUUUCAAAUUUGUAAGUAAGCCUUAUACUCCUUACCAAUUUUCAAAUUUCUACUUAUUUUUUGGUAUUAUAAAAAUAUGAAAAAAGUGUUAAAUAUUGAUGAUAUCAUAUUUUUCUAAAAUUAAGUAUCAAGCAUAAGAUAUUAUGAAACUCAUGAUUGCAAAUUAUUGGAUCUAUGAUUGUUUUACCGUCAAGUACUAUUUAUGAAUUAUGAACUCCGUAUUUAUGAAAUUAUAUUUUUGUUAUGAAAAAAUAAUUUUAUGAUGUUUCUAUUAUUAAAUGCUUAUUUAUGGGCUAUGAAUUUUAUAAAGCCAUUUAGUGUUGUUUUAUUCAAGUAUGAUUUAAGAAAAUAUAAUUCAAGAAAUAUGACUUAAGAAAAUUAUCUUAAUGACUCUGGCAAAAAGGCUCCCAAAUCUUUGUAUGGCUCCUAAAAGUGGCGUAGAUCGAUAUUUAGUUUUAUACGACCCUAACAGUAGGUAAUAGUACUUGGCAUACAACCCUACCAGCAUAUAAUAGCAAUUGGCAUACGACCCUACAAACGGAUAAUAGUAGUUGGUGUUUGUCGAUUAUAACCCUAUCACGGAUAUAAUAGUGACCUUAGUAAUUAGUCUAAAAGUAGUAAUUUGACCAAUGUAUGGUUAAAUAGUAAAUAAUUUAUGAUUUUAUUUAUGCUAUAUACCAGAAACCAUAUUCUAUGAACGAUUUCUACAUGCAAGAUUGGCUUUAUGACUUAUUUUAAUAUAUUGUACUAUGAAAUGCUUUGUUUUGUAAUAUCUGUUAUUUUCUUUAAAUGAUGCAUUGACAUGCAAAAACUUAUGCUUGAUCUGGUAAGAUAGUGAAACGUUUACUUACUGAGCUGUGUCGCUUAUAUACAUCUAUUUUUCUUUUUCUCUCUCUGAUGAAUAGGAUUAGUAGGGAUGAAGGUUGGUCUAGGCUUGGAGUUCAUACUACAAGUUUGGCGAUUUUGUCGAAAGAUUUUAAUAUUUUAAAUUGACUGUGAAUUUGUAGUCAAUAGAUUUUUGAAUAUUGAGGAUUAUGAGUUUGGUACUUAUGUUUGGAUUUAGACGCUCUGAACCAGUAUUUGUUGCAUUUAUGGAUAAUGAAAUUGUAUUCUUAUUUAUUCUAUUGUAUUUGAGAUGGAUUUAAAGGCUGAAUAUAACGUUGGCUUCGUGUUUGUUGCCCAGUAGGCAGCCCAAGAGGGGGGGUGAAUUGGGGGUUAAUUAAAAAUGCGGAAAUUCAAAUUGUGCUUAAUCUAAAGUGUGAGUUUACGAUAUGAAGACAAUGAGACAAUAGAAAAGCAAAACACAAAGACACACAAUUUAUAGUAGUUCAGAGCUACCCUUGCUCCUACGUCCACUCCCCAAGUUCCACUUGAGAUUUUCACUAUAAUCCUAGAAUUACAGCACGGUUGUUUUACAAGCUCACAACCUAACUUGUUGUUUUCACAAGAUCACAACGAACUCGGUCGGUUUUCUCCGGCUCACCAACUAGAACCAAUUCGACUGUUUUCACGGGCUCACAAUCCAACCCAGUUGGUUUUUUCCGGAUUACCAACUACAACCUAAACCCUUCUGAUUCAAUC